GUCUUACGUUAUAAUCAUUAAAAUUCUAGGGAUAUUUAAAAACUGCGAAAGAAAUAAGCAUUAGCUAGCAAAACAUAUAUCAUAAUUUCCUUUUUUUAUGAGAUAAUCGACAUGAAACUGUCUUGUAUGCACACCAAGCACCUAUUUCCAAGGACUUGCAAUGUUCAUUUUAUAUUGGUUCUAUUGUAUAUUACCACAGAAAAAAUUUUAAUGCUAGAAGUAAGCUAUUUGUAAAGAAAAUUUUGGAAUUAAGGGUUAUUUUUAUGAUAAAUUUCCCCAAAAACUUUAAAAAUAGCAAGGCAUGUGUUCUUUAAUAUUUUAUUUAUGCCAAAGAACAAUGUAUUUAGCAGAUCAAACACACAAAUUGAUGUUUUAACUUGAUUACUGAAGAAAAAAAUCAAGAAAUCUGCUGUUUUUAAUGGGAUUUUUUGUUUUUUUCAUAAUAUGCGACUUGUGGGUGAGGGAUCGUUGAAUGGCAUAAAACUUUCUUAUAUGCGCACCUACCCCCAAUUUUUUUUGGCUUAAAAUGUUAAGGUUAUGUGGGUCCACAUGUUUGCUAAGUUUAAAAAAAAGUUUAAUUCGGGAAGUUUAGUAUUUUUUUGGUAUUAGUUGGAAUUUGGGC
Molecule: long non-coding RNA, 622 nt
Filed under: Mytilus galloprovincialis (Mediterranean mussel)
Lineage: Eukaryota; Metazoa; Mollusca; Bivalvia; Mytilida; Mytilidae
Source: RNAcentral